This 458-nucleotide ribosomal RNA is filed under the name uncultured bacterium. RNAcentral's name for it is "partial 16S ribosomal RNA". It matches the Rfam family "Bacterial small subunit ribosomal RNA", at positions 338 to 795 of the family's 1533-position model. The record is from RNAcentral.
CCUACGGGUGGCAGCAGUGGGGAAUAUUGCACAAUGGGGGAAACCCUGAUGCAGCGACGCCGCGUGAGUGAAGAAGUAAUUCGUUACGUAAAGCUCUAUCAGCAGGGGAGAAACACUGACCUUACGGUCAGCAGACGGUAUCUGAGUAAGAAGCCCCGGCUAACUACGGGCCAGCAGCCGCGGUAAUACGUAGGGGGCAAGCGUUAUCCGGAUUUACUGGGUGUAAAGGGAGCGUAGACGGUGCGCCAAGGCUGGAGGGAAAUGCCGCAGCUUAACUGCGGGACUGCUUUGGAAACUGGCGAACUAGAGUGCGGGAGGGGUAAGCGGAAUGCCUAGUGUAGCGGUGAAAUGCGUAGAUAUUAGGCGGAACCCCGGUGGCGAAGGCGGCGUACUGGACCGUAACUGACGUUGAGGCUCGAAAGCGUGGGGAGCAAACAGGAUUAGAUACCCUUGUAGUC